CCACCUGAUCCCAUCCCGAACUCAGUAGUGAAACGAUGCAUCGCCGAUGAUAGUGUGGGGUUUCC
This 65-nucleotide ribosomal RNA is filed under the name Pseudomonas sp. 064. The record is from RNAcentral. Lineage: Bacteria; Pseudomonadati; Pseudomonadota; Gammaproteobacteria; Pseudomonadales; Pseudomonadaceae.